Molecule: ribosomal RNA, 268 nt
Filed under: uncultured bacterium
Lineage: Bacteria
Description: partial 16S ribosomal RNA
Rfam family: Bacterial small subunit ribosomal RNA
Source: RNAcentral
UGCCUACGGGGCGCAGCAGUGAGGAAUAUUGGUCAAUGGUCGGGAGACUGAACCAGCCAAGCCGCGUGAGGGAUGAAGGUACAGAGUAUCGUAAACCUCUUUUGUCAGGGAACAAAGGCGGGGACGUGUCCUCGGAUGAGUGUACCUGAAGAAAAAGCAUCGGCUAACUCCGUGCCAGCAGCCGCGGUAAUACAGAGGAUGCGAGCGUUAUCCGGAUUUAUUGGGUUUAAAGGGUGCGUAGGCGGAUUUUUAAGUCAGCGGUAAAAUG